RNAcentral lists this ribosomal RNA (2889 nucleotides) under Acinetobacter baumannii 1391434. Its description in RNAcentral is "bacterial LSU rRNA". It matches the Rfam family "Bacterial large subunit ribosomal RNA". Lineage: Bacteria; Pseudomonadati; Pseudomonadota; Gammaproteobacteria; Moraxellales; Moraxellaceae. The record is from RNAcentral.
CAAGUAAUUAAGUGCAUGUGGUGGAUGCCUUGGCAGUCAGAGGCGAUGAAAGACGUGAUAGCCUGCGAAAAGCUCCGGGGAGGCGGCAAAUAUCCUUUGAUCCGGAGAUGUCUGAAUGGGGGAACCCACCUACUUUAAGGUAGGUAUUGCAACAUGAAUACAUAGUGUUGCAAGGCGAACGAGGGGAAGUGAAACAUCUCAGUACCCUUAGGAAAAGAAAUCAAUUGAGAUUCCCUCAGUAGCGGCGAGCGAACGGGGAUCAGCCCAUUAAGUUAUGUGUGUUUUAGUGGAACGCUCUGGGAAGUGCGAACGUAGAGGGUGAUAUUCCCGUACACGAAAGGGCACACAUAAUGAUGACGAGUAGGGCGAGGCACGUGAAACCUUGUCUGAAUAUGGGGGGACCAUCCUCCAAGGCUAAAUACUCCUGACUGACCGAUAGUGAACCAGUACCGUGAGGGAAAGGCGAAAAGAACCCCUGUGAGGGGAGUGAAAUAGAUCCUGAAACCGCAUGCAUACAAGCAGUGGGAGCACCUUCGUGGUGUGACUGCGUACCUUUUGUAUAAUGGGUCAGCGACUUAUAUUCAGUAGCGAGGUUAACCGUAUAGGGGAGCCGUAGAGAAAUCGAGUCUUAAUAGGGCGUUUAGUUGCUGGGUAUAGACCCGAAACCAGGCGAUCUAUCCAUGAGCAGGUUGAAGGUUGGGUAACACUAACUGGAGGACCGAACCCACUGUCGUUGAAAAGCCAGGGGAUGACUUGUGGAUAGGGGUGAAAGGCUAAUCAAGCCUGGUGAUAGCUGGUUCUCCCCGAAAGCUAUUUAGGUAGCGCCUCGGACGAAUACCAUAGGGGGUAGAGCACUGUUUCGGCUAGGGGGUCAUCCCGACUUACCAAACCGAUGCAAACUCCGAAUACCUAUGAGUACUAUCCGGGAGACAGACUGCGGGUGCUAACGUCCGUAGUCAAGAGGAAAACAAUCCAGACCGCCAGCUAAGGCCCCAAAAUCAUAGUUAAGUGGGAAACGAUGUGGGAAGGCAUAGACAGCUAGGAGGUUGGCUUAGAAGCAGCCACCCUUUAAAGAAAGCGUAAUAGCUCACUAGUCGAGUCGGCCUGCGCGGAAGAUGUAACGGGGCUAAAACUAUGUGCCGAAGCUGCGGAUGUAUACUUUGUAUACGUGGUAGGGGAGCGUUCUGUAAGCCGAUGAAGGUGUGUUGAGAAGCAUGCUGGAGGUAUCAGAAGUGCGAAUGCUGACGUGAGUAACGACAAAACGGGUGAAAAACCCGUUCGCCGAAAGACCAAGGGUUCCAGUCCAACGUUAAUCGGGGCUGGGUGAGUCGACCCCUAAGGCGAGGCCGAAAGGCGUAGUCGAUGGGAAAAUGGUUAAUAUUCCAUUACUUCUGUGUAAUGCGAUGAGAGGACGGAGAAGGCUAAAUCAGCCUGGCGUUGGUUGUCCAGGUGAAAGGAUGUAGGCAUGUAUCUUAGGCAAAUCCGGGGUGCUCUAUGCUGAGAUCUGAUAGCAAGCUGUACUUGUACAGCGAAGUGGUUGAUGCCAUGCUUCCAGGAAAAGUCUCUAAGCUUCAGUUACACAGGAAUCGUACCCGAAACCGACACAGGUGGUCAGGUCGAGUAGACCAAGGCGCUUGAGAGAACUCUGCUGAAGGAACUAGGCAAAAUGGUACCGUAACUUCGGGAGAAGGUACGCUGUUGUUGGUGAUGGAACUCGCUUCCUGAGCUGACGACAGCCGCAGAAACCAGGCCGCUGCAACUGUUUAUUAAAAACAUAGCACUCUGCAAACACGAAAGUGGACGUAUAGGGUGUGAUGCCUGCCCGGUGCUGGAAGGUUAAUUGAUGGGGUUAGCGUAAGCGAAGCUCUUGAUCGAAGCCCCAGUAAACGGCGGCCGUAACUAUAACGGUCCUAAGGUAGCGAAAUUCCUUGUCGGGUAAGUUCCGACCUGCACGAAUGGCAUAAUGAUGGCGGCGCUGUCUCCAGCAGAGGCUCAGUGAAAUCGAAAUCGCUGUGAAGAUGCAGUGUACCCGCGGCUAGACGGAAAGACCCCGUGAACCUUUACUGCAGCUUGACACUGAACUUUGACCUUACUUGUGUAGGAUAGGUGGGAGGCUUUGAAGCUGGAACGCUAGUUCCAGUGGAGCCGUCCUUGAAAUACCACCCUGGUAAUGUUGAGGUUCUAACUCUGUCCCGUGAUCCGGGACGAGGACCGUGUCUGGUGGGUAGUUUGACUGGGGCGGUCUCCUCCUAAAGAGUAACGGAGGAGUACGAAGGUGCGCUCAGCGUGGUCGGAAAUCACGCGUAGAGUAUAAAGGCAAAAGCGCGCUUAACUGCGAGACCCACAAGUCGAGCAGGUACGAAAGUAGGUCUUAGUGAUCCGGUGGUUCUGUAUGGAAGGGCCAUCGCUCAACGGAUAAAAGGUACUCUGGGGAUAACAGGCUGAUACCGCCCAAGAGUUCAUAUCGACGGCGGUGUUUGGCACCUCGAUGUCGGCUCAUCUCAUCCUGGGGCUGAAGCAGGUCCCAAGGGUAUGGCUGUUCGCCAUUUAAAGAGGUACGCGAGCUGGGUUUAGAACGUCGUGAGACAGUUCGGUCCCUAUCUACCGUGGGCGCUGGAAAUUUGAGAGGAUCUGCUCCUAGUACGAGAGGACCAGAGUGGACGAACCUCUGGUGUACCGGUUGUGACGCCAGUCGCAUCGCCGGGUAGCUAUGUUCGGAAGGGAUAACCGCUGAAAGCAUCUAAGCGGGAAGCCUACCUCAAGAUAAGAUUUCCCUAGGACUUUAUGUCCUCUAAAGAGCCGUUCGAGACUAGGACGUUGAUAGGUUGGAUGUGGAAGCAUAGUGAUAUGUGAAGCUGACCAAUACUAAUUGCUCGUGAGGCUUGACUA